GGGUCAGUAGGUUGGUCGUGCCACCGGUACGUACUGGUCUCACUGAUUCCUCCUUCCUGAAGAACCGUAAUGCCAUUAAUUUGGUGUUGCGGGGAAACAGGACUGUUACUUUGAAAAAAUUUGAGUGUAUACAGCAAGCUAACGCUUGAAUACAUUAGCAUGGAAUAAUGAAAUAGGACGAUCGAUCCUAUUUUGUUGGUCUCUAGGAUUGACGUA
Molecule: ribosomal RNA, 216 nt
Filed under: Glomeromycotina sp.
Lineage: Eukaryota; Fungi; Glomeromycota
Description: partial small subunit ribosomal RNA
Source: RNAcentral